UUAGGAAUCUUGGGCAAUGGGCGCAAGCCUGACCCAGCAACGCCGCGUGGGUGACGAAGGCCUUCGGGUCGUAAAGCCCUUUUCCCGGGGAAGAUGAUGACGGUACCCGGGGAAUAAGCCCCGGCUAACUACGUGCCAGCAGCCGCGGUAAUACGUAGGGGGCGAGCGUUGUCCGGAUUUAUUGGGCGUAAAAGGCUUGUAGGCGGCCACCGCGUGUCGUGCGUGAAAUCUCCCGGCUCAACUGGGAGGGGUCGUGCGAUACGGCGGGGCUCGAGGCCGGUAGGGGGACGCGGAAUUCCCGGUGUAGUGGUGGAAUGCGUAGAUAUCGGGAGGAACACCAGUGGCGAAGGCGGCGUCCUGGACCGGUGCUGACGCUGAGGAGCGAAAGCGUGGGGAGCGAUCCGGAUUAGAUACCCGGGUAGUCCACGCCGUAAACGGUGCGCACUAGGUGUCGGGGGUAUCGACCCCCCGGUGCCGCAGCUAACGCAGUAAGUGCGCUGCCUGGGGAGUACGGCCGCAAGGCUAAAACUCAAAUAAAUUGAACGGGGG
RNAcentral lists this ribosomal RNA (549 nucleotides) under uncultured bacterium. RNAcentral describes it as "bacterial SSU rRNA". It matches the Rfam family "Bacterial small subunit ribosomal RNA", at positions 355 to 919 of the family's 1533-position model. The record is from RNAcentral.